This 1104-nucleotide small RNA is filed under the name Rattus norvegicus (Norway rat). RNAcentral's name for it is "uncharacterized LOC102550061". The record is from RNAcentral. Lineage: Eukaryota; Metazoa; Chordata; Mammalia; Rodentia; Muridae.
GGAACUUGGUUAUAGAUGAUUGUGAGCUGCCAGGUUCAGCUCUACUUGGAACGAGGGCAACUCUCCAUCUUGACUGUCUAUGUACCUGGUUCUUUAAAGGCAGCUUCCUCCCCUUCGUUCUGAUUCUGGCCCUGGGUAGGUGGAGGCCAUACCUCCUUGUACCCAGGAAGUAAGCUGUACUCAGUUCCUAAUCUGGGUAAACCAUUAAGCUUGGUUGUCUUCUGAAUGGGACCGGAAAUGGGGCCACUGUCACCUUCUUCUGCUUCAGAAGCUGUUUUUACAUCCAGAAGAGAGCGUCACAAACUGCGUAACUUACAAAUGGAAGAACCGUUCUGCAAAGUGCUAGAAGGUUCAACACCUGGCAAGGAACCAGCGUGAACCUGUGUUAGGGUCUCACUACGAUAACCGGGAUGGGCUGGAAACGCUCUCUGUAAAACGGUCUCGGCUCAAGCUCAAAGAUAUAUGUCUCCCAAGUGCUUGCAUUAGUGGCGCAUGACACUACCUACUGUGCUUCAUUUAGGAGAGCCUCACAUAGCUUACUCUGGCCUUGAGCUCGUUAUGCAGUAAAAGAUGAUCUUAAACUCCCCAUCUUCCUUACAAGAGCGCACCUAUCAUGGCCUCUUUCUGUGACACUGGUGAUCAGACCCAGGUUUGCACACAUCCUAGGCGAGCACUCCCCUAACUAAGCCAUGUUCCCAACAUACACCAACAAGCUGUGUGCUAUCAUACAGUGGUGGAACUGGCCAAGCUGUGCGGUGCUAUUCUUUUGUUGCUGUUGUUGUUUUGAGGCAGGGUUCCUGGAAUUCAAUAUGUGUACCAGGUUGGUCUCAAACUCACAGAAAACCACCCGCCUCUGCCUCGCAAAGAUGUGAGCCACCAUGCCUAGCAAGAGGACCUUAUUCUCUUCUCAAGAGACAAAAGAAUCUGCAAUUCCCUCUUAGAGAAGCCCACACCCAUGCUCUCGGGUAUUUUGUCCUUCCUUCUGAGUCUCUUAAUUCUAGUGAUUAAACCUAGUCUAGUGAUUAAAUUGAAAUACCCAAUUGAGGGGUUGAUGAGAUGGAUCAGUGGUCAAGAGCACUGGCUGCUCUUCCAAAAAACGAACAA